GAUGAACGCUGGCGGCGUGCCUAAUACAUGCAAGUCGAGCGAACGGACGAGAAGCUUGCUUUUCUGAUGUUAGCGGCGGACGGGUGAGUAACACGUGGAUAACCUACCUAUAAGACUGGGAUAACUUCGGGAAACCGGAGCUAAUACCGGAUAAUAUUUUGAACCGCAUGGUUCAAAAGUGAAAGACGGUCUUGCUGUCACUUAUAGAUGGAUCCGCGCUGCAUUAGCUAGUUGGUAAGGUAACGGCUUACCAAGGCAACGAUGCAUAGCCGACCUGAGAGGGUGAUCGGCCACACUGGAACUGAGACACUGUCCAGACUCCUACGGGAGGCAGCAGUAGGGAAUCUUCCGCAAAGGGCGAAAGCCUGACGGAGCAACGCCGCGUGAGUGAUGAAGGUCUUCGGAUCGUAAAACUCUGUUAUUAGGGAAGAACAUAUGUGUAAGUAACUGUGCACAUCUUGACGGUACCUAAUCAGAAAGCCACGGCUAACUACGUG
RNAcentral lists this ribosomal RNA (497 nucleotides) under uncultured bacterium. Its description in RNAcentral is "partial 16S ribosomal RNA". It matches the Rfam family "Bacterial small subunit ribosomal RNA", at positions 28 to 507 of the family's 1533-position model. The record is from RNAcentral.